Molecule: long non-coding RNA, 1587 nt
Organism: Homo sapiens (human)
Lineage: Eukaryota; Metazoa; Chordata; Mammalia; Primates; Hominidae
Exons: 7
Source: RefSeq, a predicted model, not a curated record
CUUUUUAGCAGAGGCCUUACGGGUGCGCGCUUCGGUCCUGGAGGCCUUAUCCUAACCUCCUCUCCAUCAGCGCCACCCGUCUGGGGCCCGAAACGAGGGAGCUUUCCCUCUGUCCCCCAGCCUUUGGACUGUCACCAAACAAGCCAUUCGUUCAUCAAAAAUACUUAUUAAGCGCCUACCAUGUGCCUGACAAGGGAGAUGUAACGGUGAGAAAAAGUAGGUGUGGUCCAGGCCCUCCAGGGGCUCAGGGGCUCGUGGAAGAAGUGGACAUUGAAAUACUUAUCACACAAAUGAGGAUAAAAGUACGAUAGCGAUAUCUGCCACGAAGCUGUUGUUCCACACCAGAACCAAAUGAGCGCAAGAUCUGACAAAGAAAAAAAAAGUCCCUGUAUCCUGAGAUGGAGUCACCUAAGAAUCCACAGCAAGUCCUAACCAGGGAUGGGUCUGGGUGAUUAAGGAAGGUUGGCUUCAGAACUGGGCCAGGGGCACUGCUUUGCUUUUGCUGUUUUGAUCAGCUCUCUGCCUGCAGGAGACAAGGAAAACCAAUGGGAACAGCUGGGGAAACUGAGUUACAGAGCUUUUCUGCACUGAGUCAUCAGGAGCAAAUGCUAGAUCAGAUAGGGUCUCUCUCUCUGCCACCCAGGCCAGAGUGCAGUUGACGCAGGGCAGGGGAGCCCCGAAGUGGAGCAUAGCGUGUCCGGAACUGGUGGGUUCUUGGUCUCACUGACUUCAAGAAUGAAGCCGCGGACCCUCGCGAAAUGAGGCUUCUCCCUGGGACCAGCAUUCCACGAAGGCAGCCCUUUUCUAGAUGGAGAAAACAGAACCUGAAGACACCCGUUUCCCUAAACUGCUCUUGCUCAUGUUUCUACAAGGCCUGGAGCUGAUACGAAAAACCUCCCUUCUUUCCCAAAUGCUCCCCAGCUUCCCCGUUCACUGAAGGCCCUGCAGUCAGGAACAGUCAGGACUUUGCACCCAGUUGUUGUGGGUGUUUGGCCGACUCUUCCUCUUGUGUGAUUCAUGGACCCUCAGCAUUGCAUCACCUAGGAGCUUUUGGAAUUGAAGACUCUCAGGGCUCACCCGGAAGGACCUCCUGGGCCAGAAUCUGCAUUUUAACAAGAUGCUCAGGUGAUUUGCAUACACGUUCAGAUCUGAGAAGCGCUAAUAAGGGAGACUUUAAGGUGGUAAUUAGAUCUUUUCUCCACCUGCAAGAAUCUUAGUUUCUUCAUGUUAAAUCUAUUAACUGUGGCAAUGUAAUGGAGGUUAUAAAACAAAACAAAAUCCUUACAUCAAGAAUGCACCCUGGUGUGUUAUGGAUGUGGGUGAAAUGAAGUGUCUGGAAUUUGCUUUAAAAUAUCCUAAAAUAGCAAGAAGGAAAAGAAAAGUGGAAACUGGAAUGAGAUUGGAGAAAUAUUGACAAGUUCUUGCAGUGGGAUGAUGAGUGCAUGGGGGUUCAUGGUGUAAUUCUCUCCCUGCUUUUUAUGCAUAUGGGAAAUUUCCAUAAUGAAUAGUUAGAGGUCGGGCACGGUGGCUCAUGCCUGUAAUCUCAGCAUUUUGGGAGGCUGAGGUGGGUAGAUUGCUUGAACCUAG